Molecule: ribosomal RNA, 699 nt
Filed under: uncultured archaeon
Lineage: Archaea
Description: bacterial SSU rRNA
Rfam family: Archaeal small subunit ribosomal RNA
Source: RNAcentral
GGAUAACUUACCCUUAGGACUGGGAUAACUCUGGGAAACUGGGGAUAAUACUGGAUAUUAGGCUAUGCCUGGAAUGGUUUGCCUUUGAAAUGUUUUUUCGCCUAAGGAUAGGUCUGCGGCUGAUUAGGUCGUUGGUGGGGUAAUGGCCCACCAAGCCGAUGAUCGGUACGGGUUGUGAGAGCAAGGGCCCGGAGAUGGAACCUGAGACAAGGUUCCAGACCCUACGGGGUGCAGCAGGCGCGAAACCUCCGCAAUGUACGAAAGUGCGACGGGGGGAUCCCAAGUGUUAUGCUUUUUUGUAUGACUUUUCAUUAGUGUAAAAAGCUUUUAGAAUAAGAGCUGGGCAAGACCGGUGCCAGCCGCCGCGGUAACACCGGCAGCUCGAGUGGUAGCUGUUUUUAUUGGGCCUAAAGCGUUCGUAGCCGGUUUGAUAAGUCUUUGGUGAAAGCUUGUAGCUUAACUAUAAGAAUUGCUGGAGAUACUAUUAGACUUGAAGUCGGGAGAGGUUAGAGGUACUACCGGGGUAGGGGUGAAAUCCUAUAAUCCUGGGAGGACCACCUGUGGCGAAGGCGUCUAACUGGAACGAUCUUGACGGUGAGUAACGAAAGCCAGGGGCGCGAACCGGAUUAGAUACCCGGGUAGUCCUGGCCGUAAACGAUGUGGACUUGGUGUUGGAAUGGCUUUGAGUUGUUCCGGUGC